AACGAUGCUGUAGUUAACAGUUUUGUUUUUUUUGAAAAAGUCAGACGACCACAAAAAUAUAAUUUGGAAUGCGUAACAGGCAUUGUUGAGAUAGAAGAGGCAUUGCCAAGUGAAAUUUGGAGCAGCAAGUAUGACUCUAAGUACCUCAGUAAAGAUUUUUCAAAUUGGCUAAGAAGACACACAGUUGCGUGUUCAGUUCACACAGGUCUGUAGAGGGUACCGUGCGAAAUGGCUUUCUAGUAACAAGUUCCAGUCUUAGUGAGACCAAAGGUGCAGAAGUGAAAGUUUUCAACACUUCACUUUCUUUUGAAGAUUUCAUUCUUGAGGGACUUCAACAGCACAAUCUCUGGAGCAGCGGAGAAACAGUGACAGUAAUGUUUGUAUUUCUAUGUUAUUCUACACAUGUGCAGGCCCCUAAAGUUGCUGUCAGCUUCAGCAGAAUAAUGAAAAUGUUGGCCGCAUUGCCACCAUUGACAACACAGAAUUUGGACUGUUGAUAUGAACAGGAGAAAAACCUAUUGUACUUGUUUGUUACAUUGCCCCACACAGCAACCAAGGGGCAAUCAUCUCCAUCACUGAUUUAUGGCUGAGAUCUUCUAGCUUCACCUCCUAAUUUUAAGAGAAAAACCAGCUGUCUUCAAGAUCCUGAAUUUGUACAGCAGAAGGUGUUGCUCUGUAAUGCAGCAUCGUCCUGAUUUAUUUUGUAGAGGCUGCAUUGAGGUGUGUUGCUGUCACUGCGACAGCUUAUUCAAGUUCUUCCAGAUACUUUUAUCUCAAGCUAUAUGAGGCACAGUGGUGCAAUUUACACAUUAUUAAAACAGCCAUAUGGCACAUGUAAUUGUACCAUCAAUUCAGUAGUAUCAAUUUAAAUGGAAAAAUGUUCUCCUUAAAGUAGCAUAUGUAUUUUCAAUCUUAGUUAGCAUUCUUGAAGUAAGUAAAACUUUGAGAUACUCAACAGUUAAAAGGAAAGUACUGAAUCAAUGUGUAAUGGCAGGGCUGCAUAAAUUAAUGGGAUCAUGACAGAUCCAGUACUGUUGGCUGUUUUGUUUUGGUAGCUUCAAGCAGAGGUUUAAUAUGCUCAUAUGUUUUGCUGUUUUAGUUUGAAGGCUGUGUCACAGACAUUCAUAACUGUAAAUCUUAUAAUGACUUGCAGCAAGCAGUAGGACAUAUCAUUUGUACUGUGCAACAAUAUGAAGGGGAUAUGAAUCAAAAUGUAUUUUAGAGAUAAGAAUGCAGUAGAUGUUGGCACAAAACAAUAGUUUGCCAAUAAAGAUUAGCUGUUUUUAAAAUAUCCUACUGAAAACACACUAACGAGUAAAUGCAAACGGAGAACAAAUGAAAAAGGAAUGGACCUGAAUGAGCCGGCUAAUUGGGUAUCAUGAUGCAUGAUGUGAGCAUUACGAAUGUGCAUUCCAAUUUCUACAGCUAUCUGUGGUAAUACUUGCA
Molecule: long non-coding RNA, 1446 nt
Organism: Stegostoma tigrinum
Lineage: Eukaryota; Metazoa; Chordata; Chondrichthyes; Orectolobiformes; Stegostomatidae
Exons: 3
Source: RefSeq, a predicted model, not a curated record